This 230-nucleotide unclassified non-coding RNA is filed under the name uncultured Orbiliales. Its description in RNAcentral is "sequence contains ITS1". Lineage: Eukaryota; Fungi; Ascomycota; Orbiliomycetes; Orbiliales. The record is from RNAcentral.
AUAGUGUGCCCUGAUUCUCAUCAGAGACUACACCUCUUAUACGCCAGGUGGUUUUCGGACCCCUGGCAGUAUAAUGCGUCCACCCUUUGUGAAAUCUAACCUAUGCUUCGGCAGCACUCUUAGCGGGUAAAACUGCUAGAGGGGUAAGGCUGUCAGAAGCCCACUAUCAAACUAGUUGAUGAAAUGUCAUGCAGUCUGAUAACUACUAUUUGAGAAAUCAAAUUAUGUUA